GAAAUGCGAUAAGUAGUGUGAAUUGCAGAAUUCAGUGAAUCAUCGAAUCUUUGAACGCACAUUGCGCCCCUUGGUAUUCCAUGGGGCAUGCCUGUUCGAGCGUCAUUUGUACCCUCAAGCUCUGCUUGGUGUUGGGUGUUUGUCCCGUCUCCGCGCGUGGACUCGCCCCAAAGUGAUUGGCAGCCGGCGUACUGGUCCCGGAGCGCAGCACAUGUCGCGCAAACGCGUGCCUUGGUACGGCGGCGUCCAUAAGCCCCUCUCUCACGCUCUUGACCUCGGAUCAGGUAGGGAUACCCGCUGAACUUAAGC
Molecule: unclassified non-coding RNA, 309 nt
Filed under: plant metagenome
Description: partial contains 5.8S ribosomal RNA, internal transcribed spacer 2, and large subunit ribosomal RNA
Rfam family: 5.8S ribosomal RNA (bases 1-105)
Source: RNAcentral